CCUACGGGGGGCAGCAGUAGGGAAUCUUCCACAAUGGGCGAAAGCCUGAUGGAGCAACGCCGCGUGGGUGAAGAAGGUCUUCGGAUCGUAAAACCCUGUUGUUAGAGAAGAAAGUGCGUGAGAGUAACUGUUCACGUUUCGACGGUAUCUAACCAGAAAGCCACGGCUAACUACGUGCCAGCAGCCGCGGUAAUACGUAUGUGGCAAGCGUUAUCCGGAUUUAUUGGGCGUAAAGGGAACGCAGGCGGUCUUUUAAGUCUGAUGGGAAAGCCUUCGGCUUAACCGGAGUAGUGCAUUGGAAACUGGGAGACUUGAGUGCAGAAGAGGAGAGUGGAACUCCAUGUGUAGCGGUGAAAUGCGUAGAUAUAUGGAAGAACACCAGUGGCGAAAGCGGCUCUCUGGUCUGUAACUGACGCUGAGGUUCGAAAGCGUGGGUAGCAAACAGGAUUAGAUACCCGGGUAGUC
RNAcentral lists this ribosomal RNA (465 nucleotides) under uncultured bacterium. RNAcentral's name for it is "partial 16S ribosomal RNA". It matches the Rfam family "Bacterial small subunit ribosomal RNA", at positions 338 to 795 of the family's 1533-position model. The record is from RNAcentral.